UGAAAUCGUCUCCUCUGGUUUAACAUCUUCAUCUUCAUCAUCAUCAUCUUCUUUCAUUGGUUUCAUGUCACUUCAAACUUUUAUUUAUAGACAAUAAGAUAAGAGUAAUGAAUGUAAUUAAAAUAUUCCACAUUUGUAGAGUUUGUUUCAUUUCUAUAUUUAAACCAUCUGUAUGUAUUUACAUCUUAUAUUUAUUUAUCAUGAAACACGAACACACACACAGGAACACACACUGGUACCACUGAGGUUCAGACACUGGUGAACUCUGUUUCCAGACUCAACAGUUGUUCUUGUUCUUGUUCUGCAGCGCUUCAUUAAUGAAGUAAACUCAUACGGCUCCCUCUGCUGGACAACAAGCGCAAACGCGUGAGUUCCACAACAACCUCGGUCCACUUUUAGAAACUGGAAAAAAGAACGAGAUGUGGGAGUUCACGUUGGUGUUGAACCUUCACCUGAACUCACAAGGUCAGAAGGGAAAUGGGAGGAGCCAAACGUCAGAGGAAGAAUGAAAGAACACCAUCAGAGUCAGGUCGGACGUGGACCCUGAGAUCAAAGGUUCUGAGCAGAACUCCUUGACAGCAGUUCCUAUGGACGAGGCGGUCAGUGGCCUCAGGGAGGCGCUCUUCAAGGCCAUGACAGAGACCACCUCCUUGAAGGCCAGAAGAAGGGAGGAGCCCACAAACAGAAGGAAACAGGCCACCUCCAAACAGCACCUCCUCCGUCGGCCUGUAGAUGUCAGUGUCAAGAACAACCGACCACCAGCGUCUUUACUGUCAGAAUAGUUUCAGCUAAAAUGAAUGACUUCCUCUACGUGGUUUACUGUGUGGACAGAAUUAACCUGCAAGUCUAAGUGUGGACACUGGGGGCGCUGAAGCCCUGUAGGAGAAUGGACUAAACAGGGACGAAGUGUGACAGAAAUGAGAAGACAAGUGUCUGAAACAACUCACAAAAUAAAAGUCCGGUUUAUUGUCAAACAACAAACUCCGCACACAAAAGGCUGAUGAGAAAAAAGAAAACAAAAAGGAGAAAAUUGGCUCGUUCUUUUGGCCACACCCCCAAAAAACCAAUGCCAGUUUGUGUUUAUGGUACGGCUAAA
Molecule: long non-coding RNA, 1096 nt
Organism: Cynoglossus semilaevis (tongue sole)
Lineage: Eukaryota; Metazoa; Chordata; Actinopteri; Pleuronectiformes; Cynoglossidae
Exons: 2
Source: RefSeq, a predicted model, not a curated record